Molecule: long non-coding RNA, 8160 nt
Filed under: Ananas comosus (pineapple)
Lineage: Eukaryota; Viridiplantae; Streptophyta; Magnoliopsida; Poales; Bromeliaceae
Description: long non-coding RNA (ACOM_LNC009912)
Source: RNAcentral
CUUCUUCAUUGAUUAAUUAUCGUCCAAUACAUAGAAUAUUUAAAGAGCUUUCCUAAUAGUGAUAAGCUCAAAACAAAAUCCUAACAAUAAAAUAUCUACCAAAUUAACAACCUUCAUAACAACUACUAGAUAAAAUCCUAACAAUAAAAUCUCUACCAACUUAACAACUUCCAUAACAUCUUCUAGAUAAAAUCCUAACAAAAUCCUAACAACCUGAUAAGCUCAAAUAACUGAAAAGCGAAUAUCCUAGAUGCUUCUAGAAAUUCGUAGGUUCGAUUCAAUCCGGACCUAUCUCUGGUCGUUCAAGCCAUAAGUCCCAAUUGCGGUUGCGGCGUCGACGACAUUCGUACACCCGAAAGGCCCGAUCCGCAUCAGCUCUCUCCGCCUUUGAAAAUUUUGACUCCGUCGAAUUGUUUGAAAUAUACUCUUCAUACAAAUCAGGGGCCAACUGUUGGAGUUCCUUUUGUGAAAUCCAAGUGGCAUCCUCGUCCGGCCGAUAUAAUCAUUUGACUAAAAAGCUGCGAUCUCCGCCAUCCCUCGUUGACACAACAUGAUCGUCAAGAAUCGCCUCGAUGUCAUUUUUCUUUUCCUGCCAUGGGGUUCUUGGGACAAGUGGAGAUGAAAAUGAAUGGGACAACGAAUUUGUAUAUCUGGAUGGUAUAAAGUAAGAUCCUCAACAUUGAUAGUAGGAUUAAUUUCCAUGUCAGAUAGCAAAUCCAACAAAUAGGCAUUAGACCCAAUUUUUUUGAGAACCUUAAAUGGACCCAUGUUUUUUGCAUGUAGCUUUUUAAUAGUCCCGUGCGGAAGCCUCUCCGGUCGAAUCCGCACCAUCACAAAAUCUCCUUCUUCAAAUUCAACGUCUCGCCUAUGAGCAUCAGCUUCCCUCUUAUAGUUUUCAUUAUUUACAUUUAUUUUUCAUUGAAUUUCGUAAUGUAAAUCCCACAUAUGCUGUGCAAAUGAAGAUGCUUGUUCACUAGGUCUUUGUUCUAUGGGAAGAGAAAUUAAAUCGAUUGGUUUGUUUGGGUCAUAUCCUGUCACUAUUUUAAAAGGGCUCAUUUCAGUGGUUCGAUUGAUUGAACUAUUAUAUGCAAAUUCAGCUUGCGGUAGAAUAAGAUCCCAAUUUUUAACAUUAUCACCAACUAGACAUCGAAGUAGGUUUCCCAAACUUCGAUUGACUACCUCGGUUUGACCGUCAAUUUGUGGAUGAUGCGAAGAUGAGAAAAGCAAUUUUGUGCCCAUAGUUUUUCACAAUGUUUUCCAAAAAUAACUAACAAAACGAACAUCCCUAUCAGUCACGAUUGAUUUUGGUGAACCAUGAAGACGUACAAUUUCAGCUAUGAAAAGUUUUGUGAUAUAGAUAGCAUCGGAUGUCUUACGACAAGAAACAAAGUGAGCCAUUUUAGAAAAACGAUCAACUACAACGAGAAUAGAAUCGUGCCUUCUAAUUGUUUUUGGUAGACCUAAAACAAAAUCCAUACUUAGAUCUUGCCAAGGAGAAUGUGGAGCAGGUAAGGGCGUGUAUAAUCCUGCGUUCUUCCGACCAUCUUUGGCCCUUUGACACGUCCCACAUCGUGCCACAAUGCGCGGAACAUCUCUUUUGAGGCUCGGCCAGUAGAAUCGAUCCUCAACUAUAGAAAUAGUUUUGUCUCGACCAAAGUGUCCAGCUAAGCCUCCUGCGUGAAGUUCCCAAAUAACGAAAUCACGUAAUGAGCCAUGUGGGAUGCACAAACGAACACCCCGAAAAAGGUAUCCAUCUCGAAUGACGAAAUCUGGGUCAGUAGAAUUGCGCUCUAAAAUUGAGGAGUAGAUCUCGCUAAAGUCUGGACACGAGGGAUAUUCCUCUUUAACGUUGUCAAACCCAAUUGCACUCACCCCGAAAUUGUUCAAAGUGGCCACGACUCGGCUCAAGGCGUCAGUGGCUUGGUUAUCGGUUCCGGAUCGAUAUUUUAGGACAAAGGUAUAUUCUUGAAGGUAUUCGACCCAUUUGGCAUGCCAAAAGUUUAAGUUUUUCUGUGAAUUGAGGUACCUAAGGGCUUGAUGAUCGGAAAAUAAUACAAAUUCCUUAGGUAAUAAAUAGUGACGCCAGUACCUUAAUGCUUGAACCACUGCAUACAAUUCCUUGUCAUAGGUAGAGUAUUUCAGUUUAGCCUCAUUUAAUUUUUCACUAAAAUAGGCUAUCGGGUGGCCCUAUUGGUUCAAAACUCCACCUAUGCCUACUCCUGACGCAUCACAACAAACCUCGAAAACUUUUUCAAAAUCUGGCAAUUUCAAAACUGGUGCUUUUGUCAUCAAAGACUUAAUUUCUUUGAAAGCUUUAAUGGCCGAUUGUGUCCAUUUAAAUUCACCCUUUUUUAAACAAUUUGUAAUUGGAGCCAUUAUAGUACUAAAGCCUUUAAUGAACCUGCGGUAAAAAGUUGCUAAGCCAUGGAAGCUCCUAACGUCGUGAAUAUUUUUAGGUUCAGGCCAUUCUCUAAUUGCUCUCACCUUUUCUGAACCAACUGAUACCCCAUCAUUGGACACAACAAAUCCUGAAAAGGUGACACGAGGUUGCAUGAAAGCGCACUUUUUAAUGUGGAUGUAAAAUUUUUCUUUUCUUAAAAUUUCAAAGACUUGGCGGAUAUGAUAUAAGUGUUCAUCCUCGGCAUGGCUAUAAAUCAAAAUAUCGUCAAAGUACACAACUAGGAACUUCCCAAUGAAAGGCCUAAAACCUUGGUUCAUAAUCCUCAUGAAAGCACUCGGGGCAUUUGUCAAACCGAACGGCAUGACUAGCCACUCGUAGAAUCCUUCUUUCGUCUUGAAUGCAGUUUUCCACUCAUCUCCAGGUCUAACUCGAAUCUGGUGGUAUCCGCUUCGGAGAUCAAUUUUUGUGAAAAUAGAUGCAUCAGCCAUCAUGUCUAGCAUAUCAUCCAGACGCGGAAUCGAAAAUCGAUACUUAAUCGUGAUUUUGUUAAUGGCACGGCUGUCAACGCACAUACGCUAACUUCCAUCCUUUUUGGGUGUGAGUAGUGCCGGUACUGCGCAUGGACUCAUGCUUUCCCUUACGAAGCCUUUCCUAACUAGAUCAUCUACCUGACGUUUCAGUUCAAAGUGUUCUUUUGGGUUCAUUCUAUAAUGUGGUAAAUUAGGUAAAGACGAGCCAGGGACAAGAUCAAUUGCAUGUUGAAUAUCCUUAAGUGGGGGAAGUUCAUUAGGCAAUUCUUCCGGGGUUAGGUAGUUGAAUUCGGAGAUGAGGUUUUUGAUGACUAGAGGGGUCUCAAUGGGUUCAGGUGGGUUGGAAAUUUCUUUGACAAUUAAAGCGUACAAAACUUGAGAAUCAAUUUCUUUACAAAAUUCUUUUUUGUUAACAAUGUGAACGGGCUUCGUCUUUGAAAUUUCAGAUGAAGGAUUUUUUAAAUCUUUAGUGGAGCUUAAACUCGGAUCUUUUGAAAAUUUAGAGUUUUUUUAUGAAAACUUUUGUUGAGAGGGUUUUGUUGGGUUCAAAACAAUUUUCUUCCCAUAUAAGCAAAAACAUAGGUGUUGGGUCGACCGUAAUUUGUGACAGAAAGAUCAUAAAGCCAAGGUCUACCUAAAAGAACAUGAGCGACAUCCAUAGGAAGAACAUCACACCAAAUCUUGUCGGUAUAGGUAGCAAAAUAAAGUGGAACCAAACAACGCCUUGUUACGGGCAUUGUGGUCUUGUCCACCCACGCAACACUAUAAGGGUUAGGAUGGGGUUCAUCUUUAAGGUUUAGGAGACCUAUAGCGGCUUCAGAAAUCAUAUUGAUACAACUACCACCAUCUAUGAUGACUUGCAGCUUUUAUCUCCACACUUUGUGUAAGUGUGAAAAAUAGAAGUGCGCCUCCAAUCGUCCUCUUCCCUAGGUUGUGUCAAGACACAUCGCAUGACUUGUAAAGCAGGGUUUUCCCCGAACUCAUCCGUUUCUAACCCUUCUUCGUCGCUAGGGAUUUCCUUAGCAGUGUGUGCGACCUCUUCUAGGUUAUCAAAUUCUUCGUCAGUUGGUUGGACAAACAUGCUCCGUUUUGGCAAUUAUGAGCAUAAUGUCCGAUUUGACGACAGUUAUAACACCUACCUUGUGUGUUUCCUGAUUUGGUUUCGUCAAUAGCUAAACCCUUGCCCUUAGGAUCGUAGAUUUGUCGAUUUUGAAAACUGUUCGUUUUAUUAAAAUUCGAGUUGGUGCUCCUUGUGUUCCUAUCAUCCCAUUGUCUAGUGAUUCGACGAGCAGGUGCCUUUAAAUACUUUUCAUAUUUCAAGGCGAGUUGAAAAGCUUGCUCAACUGUGGCGGCUCGGUGCGGCGCAAUUUCGCGCUGCAACUCCUCGCGCAAGCCAUUGCGAAAUCGUGAAAGGGUCCGCUCUUCCCCUUCUCGAAUGUCACAACGGACAUUCAUCUCAUCAAACUUGGCCAUAUAUUUGGCAACUGACAAAGAACCUUGCCGAAAUGCAUUUAAUUGAUCGUACAAUUGUUGUUUGUACGUGGUCGGCAAAUACUUCUCUCUUAAUUUAGCCUUCAUUUCAGCCCAUAAAGUGAUAGGCUCCUGACCAAGUCGCUCUAAGUGUCUUUCGACGCCUAUCCAAUAUUGCUUGGCGGCGCCGAUGAGUUUCAUUUUGGCAAAACGUACUCGACGGUUAUCAGACAUCUCAUACCAAUCAAAAUAUUGGUCCAUGUCAAUGAGCCAGUCCAUAAAAGUUUUAGGAUCAAACUUUCCAUCAUAAGUGGGUGCAUCAAUUUUUACUUUUCGCGUUAUGUCAUCUCGAAAAACAUAGUUUUCAUUUUGAAAAAGUGGAUUAAACCUGGGUUGUACCCGAUGAAUUUCUUGGGGUUGAGGUGCAUGUAACUGCUAGAAAAUUGCGUAUAGUAAAAACACAGCGGAAAAAGAAAUCAAACAAAUUUGAUUUUGAAAACUCUCGAGAUCCAAUCUAAAAAACCACGCAAUUAGGAUCCCUCAUGUUCUUUAAGAUUAAAGAAGAAAAGCAAAAUCGAAUCUUUACCUUUUUCGCGGAUAAAUCUUCAUCUCAAUUUGAUGAUCGUCGAAUCGGAUUCUCUUGAAGCCGCAUAUGCGUCCGGCCUCUAUAGGUAUCCACACGAGAUUGUUGAUUUGAUCAAUAUCCUCACCGGGGUGCUAACUCCCUUGCAAAGGACGUCUUUUUGCUAGAAUAUGAAAAAGAGAAGAGAGAAGAGAUGAUGGCUAAGGUUUUCUAAAAACUCCCGUAUUAUUAUAUAGAAGAAUAUAAUCCUCUAUUUAAUAAUAUAAUAACCAUUAAGAAUAAGUUCAAAUCUAGAUUUAAAUUUAUCCUUUCCUUAAUUUGUUAGAUCGAUCAAAUCCUAAUUUGAUUCGACUUGAACUUUAUAUUAAUUUGAUCAUAUCAAAUUAAUAACGCAAUAUUUGCACAUAAGUCCUCUUAUAAUUUACUAACUAUUAGUAAGUUCUCUCUAGUAACAUUUACACCUUAAUACCACUAAUUUGUAAUAAUUACAGAUUAGUCCAAUUAUCAACAUAUUGACAAUUAGGUCCUCCGGCGAUUCAAUAAUCGCGAUCUAGCUAUCCGAUCAAUCACAACCUCUUAUGUGUGUGACCCCAUAGGUUCUAUUCUAUUUAGCAGUGAGAUAUAUUUUGAUCACUAUCAAUAAUAUCACUGAAACUCUUUUCAAUGGAUUGGAACAACUCCAAUUCAGCACAAUAAGAAUUAUCGAUCAUCUAGAUAAUUCUCAUGAGUCUCACAAUCCACCAGUGACGCCUAACAGCAUGUAGUGGCAUUCUAGUAGAAUGGAAUACUGAAUCUCUUGGUGCAGUUACCGUGUGAUACAAUUCUUCUAUCAUGAGUCCCGACUAGACGGAGGUUAUGGAAUAACUCGUCAAACUCCAUCGUCUGUCAUAUGUUAAAUUUAUUCGACUCGAGUUUCUAAUAUCGAAAACCCUUUUCCGCUAUUAACUCUGCCCUGGCCAAGGUCUUCUAAACUCAGUCUCAUAAAUCACAUAGGACUAACACCCCUAUCUACCAAGGGAUAUAAAUUCCAUCUAAAUGCGCACCCUAUUCCUACAAUGAACCUACUGCAGCCAACAUGCACCGCAAGGAUCCGAAUGGCUAGGGACCAAGUGUAUGUAUAGUGAAACUAUAGUAACCUCAUUGUGAAUAGCCGAGGCACCGCAGGUCAAAGGACCAGUCACACUACUGCAACAUUGAGUAAGUCAUUGACGAGUGAGUAGACAUCUAAGUGACUUCUCGUGUUGGUCACGCUUGGUACCCUUGUUCUGUAACAAUCAUCUGCAUAUUCGCUUCAGUGUCCCCACACUAUCGACUCGAGACCCGUCUACCCAAAAGAGAAGCGACCUAUGCACCAAUCUCACCGGAUCAAUCACCGUCCCCGUGAUGAUCCAUUGGUCGGGAGCAUUUAGGAAUUAACCACCAAUCACAAAUGUCUCAAAUUCUCAACUCUUGAGAAUAUAUGUUAUCAUCUUAUUAAUUACUUGGACGAUUCAUGGACACAUACGCAACAUGAAUGAAAAUAAAAAUCCAAAUUUAUUUAUAAUAUUUUAAAAUCAAAUACAAAUUUAUGUCCUAGAAAGAAUACAUGUGUUGGCCUGGUUGGCUUCUAGGGCAUACAUCUAACAGUAACGCAGCUUCUUCUCCAUUAUCAUUGUUUUGUGCAGAUAAUCUUUCAGGGUUCGUUUAUAGGGCGGCAACACGGUUUCCUAGAUCGUCCAAUUUAGUGUUCAAAGCGGUCAAUUGUUGUAAAAUCUAGUCCAUCAUCGCAAGGUCUGAUGAUUUUGGUAAAGGUUGAUAAAAUUUUCCACUCCUAAGGAUUAUACAUUAACCUAGGGCUUUGAUACCAAAUCUGAUGCAGGAUUCGUAAAAUAAAGGAUUAGGAGGUUAAAUAUAAUUGGGACAAAUCCUCAUCUAAUGCAAUAUGAUGGUAGCACAGCGGGAAUUGUAUUCGAAAUUCAACAAAUUAAAUAAUUUUAAGAUGAUCCUAGAGAGUAAAGCAAUGCAAGGCGGACGUUGAAAUUAAAUAAGAGUUUGAGAUGUUUGGAUCAAACCUGUCGGGCUCGGCAAGAGAUAUUAUUAAGAACUAGCGCACAAGGGAUCCACAGGAUGCUUGAUUCAUUGUUGGGUCCGUAGCCUAUUCACCGAUUGCAACCUGUUGGGUCGAGCAAACCAAGCAAAAGGGAGAUGUCAAAGGAUUAGAAAGAAAAAUGAAAAGGACCAGAAAAAAAAAAGAAAAAGGAAUAAGUUUAGGUUUUGGCAGUUAAGAAGUUGAGGGCGAGUUCUUAACGACAAGUCGAUCACGGGAGGUUCAAGCGCAACGAUUGGGCAAGGUUGAAGGCGAUGACGAUGGAAGUACCCGGCAACAGCAUCAACAACGGGAGGUGAACGAAGUGCGGGUGCAGCCAGCGCUGCUGGCAGCAGGCGUUGUCAAAGAUGUUGGCAGCAGAUGCAUCAUUCGCCGGCAACAGGUGGUGUUGAUGACGCUGGCGGCGGAUGGCGGUGACGUUCUAGCAGCAGGGUACGUCCAAGGUGCUGUCAGCAGAUGGGUGGACUUCAGGUUGGAGAAGAAAUUGCAAAGAAAAGAUAAGAUAAAAGGACUCGCUCCCUACGAACUCGCUCCGGUCGACGUAUAAAUGCGAAGGAAUAUUAGAGAACACAUCUCAUAGGAAAUAAUAAUAUUCUUCUUCAUUGAUUAAUUAUCGUCCAAUACAUAGAAUAUUUAAAGAGCUUUCCUAACAGUGAUAAGCUCAAAACAAAAUCCUAAUAAUAAAAUCUCUACCAAAUUAACAACCUUCAUAACAACUACUAGAUAAAAUCCUAACAAUAAAAUCUUUACCAACUUAACAACUUCCAUAACAUCUUCUAGAUAAAAUCCUAACAAAAUCCUAACAACCUGAUAAGCUCAAAUAACCGAAAAGCGAAUAUCCUAGAUGCUUCUAGAAAUUCGUACGUUCGAUUCAACCCGGACCUAUCUCUAGUCAUUCAAGCCAUAAGUCCCAAUUGCGGUUGCGGCGUCGACGACGUUCGUACACCCGAAAGGUCCGAUCCGCAUCAGAGUGUGUGUGUGUGUGUGCACGUUCGAAAGAAUUAGGAAGGCUUAAUAGCCGAUUUUUCAGCGGCCGGAGGUCAGGUCAGUGGCGGCACAAGUAUGGGUGAUGCUAUGACGGCUAGGGCUU